Non-coding RNA from Peromyscus maniculatus bairdii (prairie deer mouse), 293 nucleotides. NCBI's taxonomy places the organism in Eukaryota, Metazoa, Chordata, Mammalia, Rodentia, Cricetidae. The record is from RefSeq and is a predicted model, not a curated record.
UGGAGUUUCCACCUCUUGUGGAUUUGUGUCUGGCUGCCUGCAGUGAAGUAUGGGAGGAAGAAGCAGAGAGAGCAGGACAGCCCUGGGGAGUGAAGCUGGUGUUCACCUCCAGAUCCACAGCAUGAGAUGUAUUAGUUGAACUAUGACCAUGCCUAUCAAAAAACACUGAAGUCUCCAGAAGAAGGAUGGGUCCUCGAAACUACGAUUCCACCAGAACUAUGGUCAUGCCACUAAGCUGACAAACACUACACAAAGAUUGGCUUUGGACUAUAAACUGCUUGGGGCAAUUUCAA